UAAAAGCAGCAUUUUUCUUCUGCAUAGUAAAGUUUCAAAGCUGUAUUAAGUCAAUGUUGACUUGUAAACUUUUGGAAGAACAACCAUAACGUUUUGUUCAGAGUUGGAAACAUUUCAGAGUUACGAACAAUCUACAUGCCCAAGGUGUUCAUAAUUUUGAGGCUCUACUCUACUUUUUUUUUUGAGUUU
Long non-coding RNA from Chelonia mydas (Green sea turtle), 189 nucleotides. RefSeq lists it as uncharacterized. NCBI's taxonomy places the organism in Eukaryota, Metazoa, Chordata, Testudines, Cheloniidae. The record is from RefSeq and is a predicted model, not a curated record. The transcript has 3 exons.